CAGCAGCCGCGGUAAUACCGGCGGCCCGAGUGGCGGUCACUAUUAUUGGGCUUAAAGCGUCCGUAGCCGGGUUGGGAAGUCCUCCGGGAAAUCUGGCCGCUUAACGGUCAGAAUGCCGGAGGAUACUCCCAGCCUAGGGAGCGGGAGAGGCCGAGGGUAUUCCCGGAGUAGGGGUGAAAUCCUAUAAUCCCGGGAGGACCACCUGUGGCGAAGGCGCUCGGCUGGGACGCGUCCGACGGUGAGGGACGAAGGCCAGGGGAGCAAACCGGAUUAGAUACCCGGGUAGUCCUGGCUGUAAACGAUGCGGACUUUGUGUCGGACAAGCUAUGAGCUUGUCCGGUGCCGGAGGGAAACCGUUAAGUCCGCCGCCUGGGGAGUACGGCCGCAAGGCUGAAACUUAAAGGAAUUGGCGGG
This 414-nucleotide ribosomal RNA is filed under the name uncultured microorganism. Its description in RNAcentral is "bacterial SSU rRNA". It matches the Rfam family "Archaeal small subunit ribosomal RNA", at positions 459 to 872 of the family's 1478-position model. The record is from RNAcentral.